AGUGAACGCUGGCGGUAGGCCUAACACACGCAAGUCGAACGGCAGCACAGUAAGAGCUUGCUCUUACGGGUGGCGAGUGGCGGACGGGUGAGGAAUACAUCGGAAUCUACUUUUUCGGGGGGGAUAACGUAGGGAAACUUACGCUAAUACCGCAUACGACCUACGGGUGAAAGCAGGGGAUCUUCGGACCUUGCGCGAUUGAAUGAGCCGAUGUCGGAUUAGCUAGUUGGCGGGGUAAAGGCCCACCAAGGCGACGAUCCGUAGCUGGUCUGAGAGGAUGGUCAGCCACACUGGAACUGAGACACGGUCCAGACUCCUGCGGGAGGCAGCAGUGGGGAAUAUUAGACAAUGGGCGCAAGCCUGAUCCAGCCAUACCGCGUGGGUGAAGAAGGCCUUCGGGUUGUAAAGCCCUUUUGUUGGGAAAGAAAAGCAGCAGGUUAAUACCCCGCUGUUCUGACGGUACCCAAAGAAUAAGCACCGGCUAACUUCGUG
Molecule: ribosomal RNA, 492 nt
Filed under: uncultured bacterium
Lineage: Bacteria
Description: partial 16S ribosomal RNA
Rfam family: Bacterial small subunit ribosomal RNA
Source: RNAcentral